GGUCUCAUGGUGUCGUGCUUAUCACUCUGGACUCUGACUCCAGCGAUCCGAGUUCAAAUCUCGGUGAGACCU
Ixodes scapularis (black-legged tick) is the source of this 72-nucleotide non-coding RNA. The record is from Rfam. Lineage: Eukaryota; Metazoa; Arthropoda; Arachnida; Ixodida; Ixodidae.